AAGAAACCAUCACCGAGCGUGCACCACUGUACCGACGUCGGAUCGAAGUACCCACCUGUACAACUGUUGCACCUGUCUCCUGACUGCAAAAGAACGUCAACCGGACCUAAGGAGGGUCCACUGGGUUAGUGUCUAACCCACAACUAAGAAACCAUAAAAGCAUAACCCCACAAAUAAACCCACGAGAAUCGGUUUCCCAAACCGAUCACCGUAAUACGCCGGAAAUCCCGUAAUCGCACCGAGACUCCGUCGGGACCCACGGACUGUCCCGGAACUCACCGACUCGUACCACGAGUCACCCGCUGCCCCUAAAUACAAUUUACGUGUGACCUGGCAGCAGAGACCUUAACUCACUCAAAAACGAUUAUCGUCGGAUAAUCGUUCCGAUCCGGGUUCCCGGAAGUGUCUAUUUCGACACCGGAACCCACCGUCGCUCACCCGUCAUUUCUGAACUCUCGAAAUGAUGCGAGUGACCAGCCAACAAGGCUCAGCGACUACACAAAAGCUCACAAAAGUACCGUCGGAAUAAUUCCGAACCAAAACCGCGUUCCGUCGGCGGAUUUUGCCGACAAACGCACCGAAAAUACAUUUUCGAUCUUCGCAAAGGUCCGGGGCCUUGGACAAUCAGUCCAGAGGUUACCCACAAUUCAUCCAUGCUGCCAACAGCAGCCGCAACAACCUAAAAUACAUAAAAGCCCUCCCAAUUACCCGAAAUCGCAUUAUUUCAUGCGAUUUCGGCACUUUAUGGUCCGUCCACGCAAACU
This 764-nucleotide long non-coding RNA is filed under the name Ananas comosus (pineapple). Its description in RNAcentral is "long non-coding RNA (ACOM_LNC038759)". The record is from RNAcentral. Lineage: Eukaryota; Viridiplantae; Streptophyta; Magnoliopsida; Poales; Bromeliaceae.